RNAcentral lists this ribosomal RNA (327 nucleotides) under uncultured eukaryote. RNAcentral's name for it is "partial 18S ribosomal RNA". It matches the Rfam family "Eukaryotic small subunit ribosomal RNA", at positions 1470 to 1796 of the family's 1831-position model. The record is from RNAcentral.
CCCUUAGAUGUUCUGGGCCGCACGCGCGCUACACUGACGAAUGCAACGAGCUUAUAACCUUGGCCGAAAGGUCUGGGUAAUCUCCAAAUUUCGUCGUGAUGGGGAUAGAUUAUUGCAAUUAUUAAUCUUCAACGAGGAGUGCCUAGUAAGCGCAAGUCAUCAGCUUGCGUUGAUUACGUCCCUGCCCUUUGUACACACCGCCCGUCGCUCCUACCGAUUGAAUGGUCCGGUGAAGCGCUCGGACCGCGGCCUCUUGACGGUUUUCCGUCGAUUGGCUGUGGGAAGUUCGUUAAACCUUAUCAUUUAGAGGAAGGAGAAGUCGUAACA